Molecule: ribosomal RNA, 428 nt
Filed under: Corynebacterium propinquum
Lineage: Bacteria; Bacillati; Actinomycetota; Actinomycetes; Mycobacteriales; Corynebacteriaceae
Description: bacterial SSU rRNA
Rfam family: Bacterial small subunit ribosomal RNA
Source: RNAcentral
GAACUGAAGAGUUUGAUCAUGGCUCAGAUUGAACGCUGGCGGCAGGCCUAACACAUGCAAGUCGAGCGGUAGAGAGAAGCUUGCUUCUCUUGAGAGCGGCGGACGGGUGAGUAAUGCCUAGGAAUCUGCCUGGUAGUGGGGGAUAACGUCCGGAAACGGACGCUAAUACCGCAUACGUCCUACGGGAGAAAGCAGGGGACCUUCGGGCCUUGCGCUAUCAGAUGAGCCUAGGUCGGAUUAGCUAGUUGGUGAGGUAAUGGCUCACCAAGGCGACGAUCCGUAACUGGUCUGAGAGGAUGAUCAGUCACACUGGAACUGAGACACGGUCCAGACUCCUACGGGAGGCAGCAGUGGGGAAUAUUGGACAAUGGGCGAAAGCCUGAUCCAGCCAUGCCGCGUGUGUGAAGAAGGUCUUCGGAUUGUAAAGC